RNAcentral lists this ribosomal RNA (253 nucleotides) under uncultured bacterium. RNAcentral's name for it is "partial 16S ribosomal RNA". It matches the Rfam family "Bacterial small subunit ribosomal RNA", at positions 524 to 776 of the family's 1533-position model. The record is from RNAcentral.
UACGAAGGGGACUAGCGUUGUUCGGAAUCACUGGGCGUAAAGCGCACGUAGGCGGAUUCGUAAGUUAGGGGUGAAAUCCCGGGGCUCAACCUCGGAACUGCCUUUGAUACUGCGGGUCUCGAGUCCGAUAGAGGUGGGUGGAAUUCCUAGUGUAGAGGUGAAAUUCGUAGAUAUUAGGAAGAACACCAGUGGCGAAGGCGGCUCACUGGCCCGGUACUGACGCUGAGGUGCGAAAGCGUGGGGAGCAAACAGG